AGUGAACGCUGGCGGUAGGCUUAACACAUGCAAGUCGAACGGCAGCACCGUGAGAGCUUGGGCUUCCGGGGGGGCAGUGGCGGACGGGACAGGAAAACAUCCGACUCUACUUUUUCGUAGGGGUUAACGUAGGGAAACUUACGCUAAUAUCGCAUACGAUGCACGGGGGAAAGCAUGGGAUCUUCGGACCUUGUGCGAUUGGAUGCGCCGAUGUGGGGUUUGUUGGUUGGGGGGGUAAAGACCCACCAAGGCGACGAUCGGUAGCUGGUCUGAGAGGAGGAUCAGCCACACUGGAACUGAGACACGGUCAAGACUCCUAAGGGAGGCAGCAGUGGGGAAUAGUGGACAAUGGGCGCAAGCAUGAUCCAGCCAGACCGCGUGGGUGAAGAAGGCCUUCGGGUUGUAAAGACCUUUUGUGGGGAAAGAAAAGCAGCCGGCUAAUACCCAGCGGUUGUGACGGUAACGAAAGAAUAAGCACCGGCUAACUACGUG
This 492-nucleotide ribosomal RNA is filed under the name uncultured bacterium. Its description in RNAcentral is "partial 16S ribosomal RNA". It matches the Rfam family "Bacterial small subunit ribosomal RNA", at positions 30 to 507 of the family's 1533-position model. The record is from RNAcentral.